CCAGGACGACGAUCGAGCACCUUUUCGUGGUGUCCUGGAUAAGUAAGCCGAGAUGGCUGAAACUAAGACUCGA
Molecule: non-coding RNA, 73 nt
Filed under: Fusarium graminearum PH-1
Lineage: Eukaryota; Fungi; Ascomycota; Sordariomycetes; Hypocreales; Nectriaceae
Source: RNAcentral